RNAcentral lists this ribosomal RNA (320 nucleotides) under uncultured bacterium. RNAcentral describes it as "bacterial SSU rRNA". It matches the Rfam family "Bacterial small subunit ribosomal RNA", at positions 470 to 789 of the family's 1533-position model. The record is from RNAcentral.
UGACGGUACUUGACUAAGAAGCCCCGGCUAACUACGUGCCAGCAGCCGCGGUAAUACGUAGGGGGCAAGCGUUAUCCGGAUUUACUGGGUGUAAAGGGAGCGUAGACGGCAAUUUAAGUCUGAAGUGAAAGCCCCGGGCUCAACCCGGGAACUGCUUUGGAAACUGGAUAGCUAGAGUGCAGGAGAGGUAAGUGGAAUUCCUAGUGUAGCGGUGAAAUGCGUAGAUAUUAGGAGGAACACCAGUGGCGAAGGCGGCUUACUGGACUGUAACUGACGUUGAGGCUCGAAAGCGUGGGGAGCAAACAGGAUUAGAUACCCUG